This 586-nucleotide ribosomal RNA is filed under the name fungal sp. 22 CC 08-23. Its description in RNAcentral is "eukaryotic LSU rRNA". The stretch from base 215 to 369 matches the Rfam family "5.8S ribosomal RNA". The record is from RNAcentral. Lineage: Eukaryota; Fungi.
CUUGGUCAUUUAGAGGAAGUAAAAGUCGUAACAAGGUUUCCGUAGGUGAACCUGCGGAAGGAUCAUUACUGAGUUAGGGUCUCAAGCCCGACCUCCUAUCCUUUGUCAAAAUACCACGUUGCUUCGGCGGGCUUUGGACCGUCGAUAGCCUCCUUAUAAACUCGGAGAAAUGUGUCGUCUAAAACAAUGCAGGAGCAAUCCUGAAAUUAAACAAAACUUUCAACAACGGAUCUCUUGGUUCUGGCAUCGAUGAAGAACGCAGCGAAAUGCGAUAAGUAAUGCGAAUUGCAGAAUUUCCGUGAGUCAUCGAAUCUUUGAACGCACAUUGCGCCCUUUGGCAUUCCGAAGGGCAUGCCUGUUCGAGCGUCAUUAUCACCCUAAACAUCUAGUUUAUGUUGGGUUAAAUUUGCUUCAAAUUGACCUCAAAGAUAAUGACAGCGUCUGACGACCGUAGAUGCAACGAGCUCUCUCUCCGCACGCAUCGAACGUCGUGGGAACCUGUCGUACCUAUCAUUUUUUUUUCUAGGUUUGACCUCGGAUCAGGUAGGAAUACCCGCUGAACUUAAGCAUAUCAAUAAGCGGAGGA